UGUGGGAGCGAGCCUGCUCGCGAAUGCGGUGUUGUCAGAUACAAAUUACUUCACUGACGCAUCGCUUUCGCGAGCAGGCUCGCUCCUACA
RNAcentral lists this unclassified non-coding RNA (90 nucleotides) under Pseudomonas moraviensis. Lineage: Bacteria; Pseudomonadati; Pseudomonadota; Gammaproteobacteria; Pseudomonadales; Pseudomonadaceae. The record is from RNAcentral.